Molecule: small RNA, 29 nt
Filed under: Bombyx mori (domestic silkworm)
Lineage: Eukaryota; Metazoa; Arthropoda; Insecta; Lepidoptera; Bombycidae
Description: ovarian small RNA-1397
Source: RNAcentral
UAGCUGUGUAUAGGUUCCUGCGGGAAUGA